UUUCCGUAGGUGAACCUGCGGAAGGAUCAUUACCGAGUGUUGGUCUCUGAGGCCCGGCCUCGCUCCCUGUGUUUUUUUGACCUUGUUGCCUUGGCGCGCCCCCCUCGCUGAGAGACCGCCGGAAGCUCACCUCCUUGGGCCCGUUCCCGCCAGUAGCCCACUUAAACUCUUAAUAACACUGUAGUCCGGGUUACUGGAUAUAAUGAAAAAAAACUUUCAACAACGGAUCUCUUGGUUCUG
RNAcentral lists this unclassified non-coding RNA (240 nucleotides) under plant metagenome. Its description in RNAcentral is "partial contains small subunit ribosomal RNA, internal transcribed spacer 1, and 5.8S ribosomal RNA". The record is from RNAcentral.